RNAcentral lists this ribosomal RNA (459 nucleotides) under uncultured bacterium. RNAcentral's name for it is "partial 16S ribosomal RNA". It matches the Rfam family "Bacterial small subunit ribosomal RNA", at positions 338 to 795 of the family's 1533-position model. The record is from RNAcentral.
CCUACGGGAGGCAGCAGUGAGGAAUAUUGGUCAAUGGGCGAGAUCCUGAACCAGCCAAGUCGCGUGAGGGAAGACGGUCCUAUGGAUUGUAAACCUCUUUUGCCGGGGAGCAAAACGCGGUACGCGUACCGCAUCGCGCGUACCCGUCGACAAAGCAUCGGCUAACUCCGUGCCAGCAGCCGCGGUAAUACGGAGGAUGCGAGCGUUAUCCGGAUUUAUUGGGUUAAAAGGGUGCGCAGGCGGGGCGUUAAGUCAGCGGUAAAAUUUCGGGGCUCAACCCCGGCAAGCCGUUGAAACUGGCGGGCUAGAGUGGGCGAGAAGUAAGCGGAAUGCGUGGUGUAGCGGUGAAAUGCAUAGAUAUCGCGCAGAACUCCGAUUGCGAAGGCAGCGUACCGGAGCAAGACUGACGCUGAGGCACGAAAGCGUGGGGAUCGAACAGGAUUAGAUACCCGUGUAGUC